This 458-nucleotide ribosomal RNA is filed under the name uncultured bacterium. Its description in RNAcentral is "bacterial SSU rRNA". It matches the Rfam family "Bacterial small subunit ribosomal RNA", at positions 339 to 794 of the family's 1533-position model. The record is from RNAcentral.
CUACGGGAGGCAGCAGUAGGGAAUAUUGGGCAAUGGAGGCAACUCUGACCCAGCCAUGCCGCGUGAAGGAUGAAGGCGCUUUGCGUCGUAAACUUCUUUUGGGUAGGAAGAAAAGCAGACGUUCUCGUUUGUUUGACGGUACUAUCAGAAUAAGCACCGGCUAACUCUGUGCCAGCAGCCGCGGUAAUACAGAGGGUGCAAGCGUUAUCCGGAUUUACUGGGUUUAAAGGGUGCGUAGGCGGGAUUUUAAGUCAGUGGUGAAAGCUCGUCGCUUAACGACGGAAUUGCCAUUGAAACUGAAGUUCUUGAGAUACAGUGAGGUUGGCGGAAUGAGACAUGUAGCGGUGAAUUGCAUAGAGAUGUCUUAGAACACCAAUUGCGAAGGCAGCUGACUGGCUGUUAUCUGACGCUGAGGCACGAAAGCGUGGGGAUCAAACAGGAUUAGAUACCCCGGUAGC